GGGUGUAUUAAGACUUAUGUUACGGCCAUAAGGUUUGAGGUUUAUAGCGUCAUACACUUU
This 60-nucleotide transfer RNA is filed under the name Moniezia benedeni. RNAcentral describes it as "tRNA-Arg". The record is from RNAcentral. Lineage: Eukaryota; Metazoa; Platyhelminthes; Cestoda; Cyclophyllidea; Anoplocephalidae.